This 73-nucleotide transfer RNA is filed under the name Stegodyphus mimosarum. It matches the Rfam family "tRNA". Rfam says of the family: Transfer RNA (tRNA) molecules are approximately 80 nucleotides in length. Their secondary structure includes four short double-helical elements and three loops (D, anti-codon, and T loops). Further hydrogen bonds mediate the characteristic L-shaped molecular structure. tRNAs have two regions of fundamental functional importance: the anti-codon, which is responsible for specific mRNA codon recognition, and the 3' end, to which the tRNAs corresponding amino acid is attached (by aminoacyl-tRNA synthetases). tRNAs cope with the degeneracy of the genetic code in two manners: having more than one tRNA (with a specific anti-codon) for a particular amino acid; and 'wobble' base-pairing, i.e. permitting non-standard base-pairing at the 3rd anti-codon position. Lineage: Eukaryota; Metazoa; Arthropoda; Arachnida; Araneae; Eresidae. The record is from Rfam by way of RNAcentral.
GCCUUCGUGAUGUAACUGGAAGCACAUUCGACGCGUAAUCUAGAGGUUCAGGGUUCGAGUCCCGGCGAGGGCA